AGUGAACGCUGGCGGUAGGCCUAACACAUGCAAGUCGAACGGCAGCACAGUAAGAGCUUGCUCUUACGGGUGGCGAGUGGCGGACGGGUGAGGAAUACAUCGGAAUCUACUUUUUCGUGGGGGAUAACGUAGGGAAACUUACGCUAAUACCGCAUACGACUUACGGGUGAAAGCAGGGGAUCUUCGGACCUUGCGCGAUUGAAUGAGCCGAUGUCGGAUUAGCUAGUUGGCGGGGUAAAGGCCCACCAAGGCGACGAUCCGUAGCUGGUCUGAGAGGAUGAUCAGCCACACUGGAACUGAGACACGGUCCAGACUCCUACGGGAGGCAGCAGUGGGGAAUAUUGGACAAUGGGCGCAAGCCUGAUCCAGCCAUACCGCGUGGGUGAAGAAGGCCUUCGGGUUGUAAAGCCCUUUUGUUGGGAGAGAAAAGCAGCAGGUUAAUACCCCGCUGUUCUGACGGUACCCAAAGAAUAAGCACCGGCUAACUUCGUG
RNAcentral lists this ribosomal RNA (492 nucleotides) under uncultured bacterium. RNAcentral describes it as "partial 16S ribosomal RNA". It matches the Rfam family "Bacterial small subunit ribosomal RNA", at positions 29 to 507 of the family's 1533-position model. The record is from RNAcentral.